This 96-nucleotide small RNA is filed under the name Niallia circulans. Its description in RNAcentral is "Bacillus circulans Manganese sequence". It matches the Rfam family "Manganese Mn2+ riboswitch aptamer (yybP-ykoY)". Rfam says of the family: This RNA was originally discovered in E. coli during a large scale screen and was named SraF. The family was later found to exist upstream of related families of protein genes in many bacteria, including the the yybP and ykoK genes in B. subtilis. The specific functions of these proteins are unknown, but this structured RNA element may be involved in their genetic regulation as a riboswitch. Lineage: Bacteria; Bacillati; Bacillota; Bacilli; Caryophanales; Bacillaceae. The record is from RNAcentral.
AUACUACUCAAAGGGGAGUAGCUUUUAGGUUUAAUACCUAAAACAAAGUCGUCAGUUCAUGGCAUAUGCCAUCGGCUUUGUUGGCAUAUUAGUGCU